GCUGGGUGCAGUGAUGCACGCCUGUGAUCCCAGCAGCUUGGGAAGCUGAGGCAGGAGGAUCACAAGUUCAAAGCCAGCCUCAGCAAAAGUGAGGUGCUAAGCAACUCAGUGAGACCCUGUCUCUA
This 125-nucleotide small RNA is filed under the name Marmota monax (woodchuck). The record is from RNAcentral. Lineage: Eukaryota; Metazoa; Chordata; Mammalia; Rodentia; Sciuridae.